GCAGUCGAGCGGACAGAUGGGAGCUAUGCUUCCCUGAUGUAUAGCGGCGGACGGGUGAGUAACACGUGGGUAACCUGCCUGUAAGACUGGGAUAACUCCGGGAAACCGGGGCUAAUACCGGAUGGUUGUUUGAACCGCAUGGUUCAAACAUAAAAGGUGGCUUCGGCUACCACUUACAGAUGGACCCGCGGCGCAUUAGCUAGUUGGUGAGGUAACGGCUCACCAAGGCAACGAUGCGUAGCCGACCUGAGAGGGUGAUCGGCCACACUGGGACUGAGACACGGCCCAGACUCCUACGGGAGGCAGCAGUAGGGAAUCUUCCGCAAUGGACGAAAGUCUGACGGAGCAACGCCGCGUGAGUGAUGAAGGUUUUCGGAUCGUAAAGCUCUGUUGUUAGGGAAGAACAAGUACCGUUCGAAUAGGGCGGUACCUUGACGGUACCUAACCAGAAAGCCACGGCUAACUACGUGCCAGCAGCCGCGGUAAUACGUAGGUGGCAAGCGUUGUCCGGAAUUAUUGGGCGUAAAGGGCUCGCAGGCGGUUUCUUAAGUCUGAUGUGAAAGCCCCCGGCUCAACCGGGGAGGGUCAUUGGAAACUGGGGAACUUGAGUGCAGAAGAGGAGAGUGGAAUUCCACGUGUAGCGGUGAAAUGCGUAGAGAUGUGGAGGAACACCAGUGGCGAAGGCGACUCUCUGGUCUGUAACUGACGCUGAGGAGCGAAAGCGUGGGGAGCGAACAGGAUUAGAUACCCUGGUAGUCCACGCCGUAAACGAUGAGUGCUAAGUGUUAGGGGGUUUCCGCCCCUUAGUGCUGCAGCUAACGCAUUAAGCACUCCGCCUGGGG
Molecule: ribosomal RNA, 842 nt
Filed under: Bacillus sp. (in: firmicutes)
Lineage: Bacteria; Bacillati; Bacillota; Bacilli; Caryophanales; Bacillaceae
Description: bacterial SSU rRNA
Rfam family: Bacterial small subunit ribosomal RNA
Source: RNAcentral